GCACCCGUAGCUCAGCUGGAUAGAGCGUCGCCCUCCGAAGGCGAAGGCCACACGUUCGAAUCGUGUCGGGUGCGCCA
This 77-nucleotide transfer RNA is filed under the name Bradyrhizobium sp. Its description in RNAcentral is "tRNA-Arg". It matches the Rfam family "tRNA". From Rfam's summary of the family: Transfer RNA (tRNA) molecules are approximately 80 nucleotides in length. Their secondary structure includes four short double-helical elements and three loops (D, anti-codon, and T loops). Lineage: Bacteria; Pseudomonadati; Pseudomonadota; Alphaproteobacteria; Hyphomicrobiales; Nitrobacteraceae. RNAcentral also lists the same sequence under 68 other names. The record is from RNAcentral.